Coffea arabica (coffee) is the source of this 1359-nucleotide non-coding RNA. Lineage: Eukaryota; Viridiplantae; Streptophyta; Magnoliopsida; Gentianales; Rubiaceae. The record is from RefSeq and is a predicted model, not a curated record.
UUAAACUCCAGCAGAAUAAAAUUAUUGAAAACACAACAGUCUCAUUCUAUAGAAGAAAAUCCAACAUUUAUUAUCUCAUCAUCACAAAAGGGAAAAAAAAAAAAAAUCAUUCCAAGAAUCCCCUUGCUACCAUUAAGUCACUACCUCAAGUUUUCACUUUGUCUAUCUCUUUUCAGACAGUUUCAAUAUAGAAAAAGGUGUGAAAUUCAAUCCGACUUUCUAUCACUGAUUCACCACCACCACCUGCAUGGUUGUGUAGUGUUGUAUCUCUCUCAAAAUCUUCCAUACCUUUCAUGCUAGUGAUAGAUCACAUCCAAGAAUUGAAGAGAUAUUAGGAAAGGUAAGAGAAUUGUCAGCCAGGAUCAAGGGAGCUGGAUAUGUUCCCGAUAAGGGGUGUGUUUUACAUGAUGUUGAUGAUGAGCAGAGAGAGUUGCUGCUGCUGCUUGGUCACAGUGAAAAACUAGCUUUGGCAUUCGGUUUAUCGAAGAGAAGCAUCUCUGUGGGACGAAGGACGAUAUGAUAAUAUUGUUGAUGGAAAGUGCUCAUGUGGAGACUACUGGUGAAGGGUGUAAGAUAAUCAUACAAAAGGUGGAUUUUAUACCAUUUUGUCUCUAGAGUGUAUGCUUGGAUAAUGUAGAGACCCUAUGAAAUGGUAACAGUUAUGUGGGAACCUGGGUAAGCACAGAUUUUGUCACCACUCAGCAUCAAGAAAAGAUACACUUUGAUUUGUGGGGCUGGGAGGAGGGAGGAUCCAUAGUUGCUCAAAAGUUAUCUUAUGUAAUAUGUAGUGUUGUUUACCAUUGGGAAAGCAGCUAUGGGCAAAGAAGAUAGAAAAAGCAACUAGGGGCGUGAACUUGUUGCUUUUUAAUGACUUUCACGUACAUGCUGAAAGAAGUUGGUCGAGGAGUUUCCAAGGACAUUUUAACCACUUAAGAGCUGAGGAGGAUAUCCUGAGAGGGGGUUGACCAGCAUAAUCUCAUAGUUAUUGCAUCUGAUGGUUGUAUCAUUUCCUGCGGAGGAGUUCCUUGUUCUCCAUGAAGCGCAGAUACUGAUCCUUGACACUGGACCGCAUAACAUUUCUCUUGAACUAUCAUAUGUGAUAAAAAAUUAAGAUGCAAAGUUUCAAUCAACUGUUCUUGGCAGACAACAGCAUGAAGACUGUUCAUUGUGUGGAGUUGCUGAGACGAAUACAAGCCAGCUUUGCAUAUGCCGGAGGUUGGACUUCUAUGGAAGCACCCCUGUUAGCUCAGCUUAUUUGAAGUUGAGAUGAGCAAUUGUUUAUAUUUUAGCUAUAAAGCUUUUCAAGAAGUGAUACUUUUGGAUUUUUUUUUUUAAUAGUUCAAUUUCCUUUACUAAGCA